Rattus norvegicus (Norway rat) is the source of this 6386-nucleotide non-coding RNA. NCBI's taxonomy places the organism in Eukaryota, Metazoa, Chordata, Mammalia, Rodentia, Muridae. The record is from RefSeq and is a predicted model, not a curated record.
UAGACCUAACUGUGAUUGCACACGGACUGGCAAGAUUGAGACCUGACAAGUCAGCCUAGGUGACCCAGUGGCCUUGGAUCCAGAAAGAAUGUAGAGGUCUCCCUACGUGUUUGACUGCAUUGCCCUUUGGACUUGCUGAUCUGCCACUGUCCUAGUUACCUGGAGGCAGGCAAUUCUACUUUAGAUUUGCCCAACGGUUGGUUAUACUUUCUGGCUUGCUAAUGACACUUAUCCUCUCUGUGGGACUCAGACUAUCUCACCUCCCUCUGAGAUGCCAAGAUGUCCUUGGAGACCUAAAUACUGAACUUUGCCAAAUCCAUGACAGAGCAUACAGGAGCAGCUGCCCUCUUCUGUUCUUGAGGUGGCUGGCCACAUGCCCAGAACUGCCUUGGGAGCCACAGUGCUGGACCACAAAUGAUUUCUACUACAUGGUCAGUGCAUGGGGAACAAUACAGGAGUGUGAGAAGAAAGGACGGAUUACCAUAGCCCCAGAAACCCAGUCCACUAGCAAACACCAAACAUGAAUCAGCAGCUGAAGUCCAGACACCACACACAAAUCAGUAAGGGCAGUUCAAUCCAGAAGAAACCUCAGGGCUUGCCAAUUGGCCCGAGUCCUCCAUAGAAGUGCUAAGAAGCUGCAGGGACCUCACAAAAUGUUCUCUGGUGAGUUUCUCUCAAUGAAGUCAACACGAGCAAAGCCCAGCAAUGCAAUGUAACAUGAAUCGAUACAUGCAUGUCAUUAGUGAAGACUACUUAGCAGAGCAAGACAAACCAAUGGUGGAGUUCCUACUGUCUGCGGGGCUGUAUUUAUAUUCCUCCUAAAUACUAUGUGUCCUUCUAUAUGUUUGCCAUAACAAAACAUCCUUUCGCCUGUGUCUGCUUCAGCCAAACAUACUUCACAUGUUUGGUUUAGGAAAACAUCCUUUUGCCUGUGUGCUCAGCGAAAUGGUAUUUGGCAUAACUGACAUUAGACACUGGAAGUUUCCACUUCAAUGAGGAAGGUCUCUGUGGGAACAGAGUCAGUGGGAGAUCUGUAUCUCCCAUAUCUUUCUCCAUGUGCCUGUAAUCUAAAAGUUCUCCAAAAAUAUAGCCCUGAAUGCAGCACUCUAUUUCUGCAAGGCAGCCCAAAGUUUCUAAGUACUCUAUAUGUUUAUUUGAUAUGUAUUCUUUUGGAAUAUUUGACUAUUGUGCUCUCUCUCUCUCUCUCUCUCUCUCUCUCUCUCUCUCUUCUUUAUUUCUCCUCCUGUCCCUCCCUUCUUCUGUCCUGCCUUCCCUCUGUCCCUUCCCUCCCUCCCUCUCUCUUUCUUUCUUUCUUUCUUUCUUUCUUUCUUUCUUUCUUUCUUUCUUUUGUUCGUUCAUUCGUUCAUUCAUUCUUUCUUUCUCUUUUAUUUUGGUCUUUUUCUCUGUGAAGUAAGAACAAAACAUUCUGUUGGACUUUUCCAACUUUGCAAGGAAGGGGAUGAAGUAUGGCAGCCUGGCAGCCAUUUUUGACAAACUUUAACAAAGCGCAACACUCUUGUCCCUGUUCUCUAGAUGCAACAACACACAGCCCUAGAACAUGUGUGCUGAAUGAAUGUCAAACUCUAGAACUUUCUGUGAUCCAUUAGCAAAAAAGUGGGUUCAAGCACCAGUAAUCUAGCCUGUGCUGGUUAGCUUUAUGUCAACCUGACACAAGUUAUAGUCAUCUUAGUGGAGGAAACUUUAAUUAAGAAAAUGUCUCCAUAAGAUCAGGCUAUAGACAGAUCUAUAAGGCAUUUUCUUAAUUAAUGAUCAAUGUGGGAGGGCCUAGCUCACUGUGGGUGGUGCCAUCCCUAGACUGGUGAUCCUGGGAUCUAUAAGAAAGCAGGCUGAGAAAGCCAGUCAGCAGCACCUCCAUGGCCUCUACAUCAACUCCUGCCUCCAGGAUCCUGCCCUGUUUGAGUUCCCAUCCUGACUUCCUUUGAUGAUAAACUGUGAUGUUGAAGUAUAACCAGAAUAAACCCUUUCUCUCCUAACUUUGAUUUAGGUCGUGGUGUUUCAUCACAGCAAUAGAAACCCUAAUAAGAUAAGGCUGUGUUAACAUAAGUACAUUGAUCUAUCAGGGAUAAUAAAUAGUAAUGCUCUAGGUGGACUCUCAGUAGAAUACAUGGACUGUUGCUCCCAUUAUCUUUUCUUCUAGCCCUUGGUGUUUUCGUGUGCAUGCCAGAUGCCUCUGGACAGGGGUGGGUCUCAUAUUGUUUUGUAUAUUAUUCCUGUAUUUUAUAGCAUUGCCCAUUGUGCUGACUUUGGUCACUUGCUGAGGUCUCCCCCCACCAUCUCCCUUUCCUAAUGCUAAUGUGUCACCCUAGAUCCACUGUUCUUACUAAGUGGGUCUCCCCUCCCCUCAACUGAUUAUUACAGUAACCCCAACCAAACUAGUUUAAAAGCAAGACCAGGAAUGUACCUGGGGCAUCUGUGGUUAUAACUGCAAAUGGAGCCAGUGCUCAUAAAUGUCAUCAGGAUGCUGUCUGUCUCCACUCAGAAGCACUUUCUCUCAUGAAGCAAUGGCUGUCAUAGAUGACAGCUGGCAACUUCCGUCUUUUUAACGUUAGCCUUCUCAGAGAUAAAAAACUGUCCCUUGAAAGCUAAUCACUUCAGAAACAUUCUCCCAUGGAUUCUCACUAGUAGGGUGUGUGUCAAGCACCCCACCCUCAGUGAUAUUUUUUCAUUUUAAAGUAUAUUUUGACUGGGCCAAAAAAAAAAGUUGUCGCUGUCACAGUGAGUGAGUUUAGAUCUACUGGCUUACAGUGAGUAAAUUCUUCUCAGGAAAGUGGAUAUGAGAGAACACAAACUUGUGUCCACUGCCAUGCACCCCUCUCAUGGUCUUCUCUGAGGCGGUGAAGUGUUGAGAGAGGUACUCUGCCACCAACAUAAAAUGGAGACUUUCUCCCACACAACUAUCACUUUAUACUAGUAGUCAUGAAUGUGGAAAAAAAAAUCCUAGUGCUGUGGAUGUUACAACUCUCUUUUCCUAGUUUAUCUCUAAAGCCCUCUGACAUGUAGAGUUCAAAGCCACUGGAGAAUCUGGGGACUGUACAUACCCUUGGCUAAUGCUCAAGAGUGUCAUCUUGUGUGAUGCUUGGAUUCUGAGUUUCUGAACAUGGAGGUUGUUUCUCUCAUCCUGAAUUCCUUCUCCCAGGUUAAAUAUCUGGGGAUGUCCCAGUGACUGAGAAACUCAGCUGGGAGUCAGUAUCAGUGUAUGGAGUCCAUUCAUUGAUGAUGUGUGCAGCUCCGUAGAGUUCUCUCUAGUUACCAGCUAGACCAAUCUCUGCCUUCUCUUCAUAUGCUGCCUGCUCAGCUGGUCUUUCCAAGCUAGACCCAAAAAUUAUGCCAAGUCGAACUCACCUUCUAGACUCAUAUAAGUCCUGUGCUGAUUUAUACCUGAAAUUACCCUAUGUACUUGUUAAUAUUUCCCACUACAGAAUAAGUAGGAGGUUUGCAGGCAACUUAUCCCCCAUUCUCUGUUUUACCCUAGAAUGUUGCUUGGAUUAUGCUAGGUAUGCAGUAACUAUUUGGCAUGCCAAGAAACAGAUGAACAGACAAGGAACAGACAAACAAAAUUAUAGUAGGUGUAGAUCUUAAGCUGUAAAUCUGGGACCUUUGUUACAAACUUAAACACAUGUUCUGUUAAAAAAAAAUUGUGAGUGGCAACAAACUUGGUGCAUGAAUAAACAUGCUUUCCAAAGGCCUCAGACCACAGCCUGAAUUCUUUUCACGUUAUGAGCCUUGCGUCUCUUCAUCUCCUUCUGCUUCACAUAUUGGUUCAAAGUUUCUCUCCCUGGCAUGGGAGCUAGGCCGAUAAGAUUAUCGGUAAUGUUGUUUCACCAAGCAAAAGCCAAAUGAAAUGCAUAAAUUGAGUUGUUUAGAAUAUUGACAUUAGCUCAAAAUAAGUUCAUCGACCAGUCUUGGACCAAGCCAGAGUUGAGACACUCCGUCUUCUGCUUUGUACCUGGGAGGAUGCUCUUCCAGUCUUCUAGUCUUUGUGUUUUGUUUUGUUUUGUUUUGUUUUGUUUUGUUUUGUAUCAAAAACAAAACCAAAAACAAAAAAAAAAAUCAAAUCACCAGGAAUCGAGUUUGCUGUCUUUAAGAAGACUUAUUUUUAGAUUUGAACCUUUUCCUGAAGCCUAGCUCAAGGUCAUGACAUCCACAAACAAGAGCAAAUAAAAUCAAAGAGGCUGGUUUCAUCAUUUCAUCCCUCGCCAGCUGUAUCUGGUUCCUCUGGUUUUUUUUUUUUUCUCGGUGUCUGGAGGCUGCGGGCAGGACAGAGCCACGCAGAACCAGUAGCCCUGCCUGCUCAUGAGGUUCUGCUACCCGUCAAGUGCACUGGGAAUUCCUUUCUGCCUGACUGAAAUGUCUAGUCUAUAAAACUGGUUAGUAAAACAUACUGUAAUUUGGGAUUUGGUAAAACAGGCUUCAUUUUGACAGAACCCAGGCUGACCUACAGCAUUAUGUCAUGAACAGAUGUGAAUUUUAGAGGGGUGAAAUGAUUAAAAACUUGUUCAGAGAGAAGGCAACGUAGUCGUAAGACGUCUUCAUGCUUCCACAGUCUAGGCAUGUAAGCUGGUUUGGCUCUGUUCAGUCCAAGCAUCAAGUACACCCCAAAAGCCAGGCAAAGAGCCUCAUCUCUCCUGAUGUGUGAGGGGGUCUAGUAACUGCGCAGACUGAAAGCAUUUAAAGAGCUUUACAUGUAAUUAAGACACCCAGGAAUGCAUGGCACUUAAAUAAAUGAGAAUUCCAAUAGGUUAAAAAAAUACCGCAAGUCAAUCGAGGUACUCAAUCCUCAACUUUUACACAAAGGACAGGAAAAAUAGCAUCAUAGCUAUGGUUUGAUUGGGACAGAAUCAAUACAUCAGCUGUAGAGUUAUGAUGAAUGCUGUCAAGGAAAUGACUGCGUGAAAGUACUUUCCCAGCUCUAAAGAACUAGAAAAAUAAUGCCUGUAGUUUGCAUUAGUAGGUAUGAGCAGGGCAAAAUAAUGCCAAGUGACUAUGUUUAUUGGCAGAGUGUUUUGCAAAGGCCAUGUAAUGCUUGGUAUUUUUGAUAAUUCUUCAAUUGACAAUCACAACUGAGUCUCACUUUAGACUUACAUUGAUCAGUCACUUAAAAAGCCAAUUAAUAUUUUAUAUAAGAAUAUAGGAUGAAUAGACAGGUUAAAAUAUAUACACACAUACAUGUAUAAACACAUAUAUUUGUAUAGAAAGAUAAAUGUAAAUAUAUAGUCUAUGGUAUAAUUUUGGGUAGCAAACUAAAGAUAUAUACAUAAGCAUAAAGAUAUACUAUGUAUACUUGCACAUAUAAAUGUAAAAUAGAUUUUUAUGAUUUGCUUUUAGGUGUAUGCUACAUAUUAUUGGGUAACUUUAGUAAACUCAAAGCUAAAAUGUAUUUAGGUAGAGUUCUUUCAAAAUAGAUUUUACUUUCUUACUGGAUAAGUAAAACCCAUGCCGGAUAGACAAGGAACCAAAGCGAUGCCAUCAGUUUAUUUAUUUGUUUAUUUGAAGCACUUGUAAACAGAUGUUUACAAUAGUCCCUAUUAAAGCAAUGUCACUAAGGUGAUAUCUACCUUCAACCUUGAAAAUCAUCCUAGAGAGCAAAUAAAAGUUAAUGUAUCCUAUUUUGAAAAAUUAUAGCUUCAUUAAUUACAGAAAUUCUUUGAACUAAUGCAUAGGUAAAUGAUGUUAUUCAGCCUAUAGUCAAUUAUUGGGGUACUGAGAAUGAGACAGAUGUUAGCUGUGCCCUGGUGGAACUUGUAUGCCAAUUAAUGAAAAAAAAAAUUAAAUGGCCCCUUUCCAGGGUCCAGUUGCUGUCAACUCAUCAACUCAGGUGAGACAGUCAGAAAAGGAGGAUUUCCAAGGAGAAUGGGGGCUUCAUAACAUAACAAGCAGCUUAAAGAUAUGGUGUUUGAAAGGCCACCCAGACCCUGCCCCACCUGCGCCGGAUCCAGCCUGAUAAAGCUGUCUCCUGAGAGGCUCUGCCAGAGCAUGACAAAUACAGAGGUAAAUGCUCGCAGCCAACCAUUGAACUGAGAAUGGGGUCCCCAAUGGAGGAGUUAGAGAAAGGUUUGAAGGAGCUGAAGGUAUUUGCAAUCUUAUAAGAACAACAAUAGGAACCAACCAGAGCUCCCAGGAAUUAAACUACUACCCAAAGAGUAUACAUGGACAGACCCAUGGCUCUAGCUGCAUAUGUAGCAGAGGAUGGCCUUGCUGGGCACUAAUGGGAGGAGAAGCCCUUGGUCCUGCCAAGGUUUAACCCUCCAGUGUAGGGGAAUGUCAGGGCAGGGAGGCAGGAAGGGGUAGGUAGAUGGGUGAGGGAACACCCUCAUAGAAGAAGUGGGAAGGGGAUGAGAUGGGGGGAUAAUGGAUGGGAAACAGGG